RNAcentral lists this ribosomal RNA (497 nucleotides) under uncultured bacterium. RNAcentral's name for it is "partial 16S ribosomal RNA". It matches the Rfam family "Bacterial small subunit ribosomal RNA", at positions 28 to 507 of the family's 1533-position model. The record is from RNAcentral.
GACGAACGCUGGCGGCGUGCCUAAUACAUGCAAGUUGAGCGCUGAAGUUUGGUACUUGUACCAACUGGAUGAGCAGCGGACGGGUGAGUAACGCGUGGGGAAUCUGCCUUUGAGCGGGGGACAACAUUUGGAAACGAAUGCUAAUACCGCAUAAAAACUUUAAACACAAGUUUUAAGUUUGAAAGAUGCAAUUGCAUCACUCAAAGAUGAUCCCGCGUUGUAUUAGCUAGUUGGUGAGGUAAAGGCCCUCCAAGGCGAUGGUACCUAGCCGAACUGAGAGGGUGAACGGCCAAAUUGGGAAUGAGACCAGGCCCAAACUCCUAAGGGAGGCAGCAGUAGGGAAUCUUUCGCAAUGGACGGAAGUCUGAACGAGCAACGCCGCGUGAGUGAAGAAGGGUUUCGGAUCGUAAAACUCCGUUGGUAGAGAAGAACGUUGGUGAGAGUGGAAAGCUCAUCAAGUGACGGUAACUAAUCAGAAAGCGACGGCUAACUACGUG